Molecule: small nucleolar RNA, 82 nt
Organism: Dicentrarchus labrax (European seabass)
Lineage: Eukaryota; Metazoa; Chordata; Actinopteri; Moronidae
Gene: SNORD79
Rfam family: Small nucleolar RNA SNORD79
About the family: snoRNA U79 or Z22 is found in intron 7 of the gas5 gene in humans and is also present in mice. U79 is a member of the C/D class of snoRNA which contain C (UGAUGA) and D (CUGA) box motifs. Most of the members of the C/D box family function in directing site-specific 2'-O-methylation of substrate RNAs.
Source: Ensembl
AACUGUCAAUGAUGAGCUUGUUUAAAACACAAUGGGAAUCUCUCUGAAAAAGAAUGAAAGAGGACUUUAAACUGAUGCAGUG